CUGAGCCCAGGGCUUGGGUACCGUGGGAGGCGCGCUCGGAUGACGUCAUGUACCCCCGGCGCUUGCAUGACAUCAACUCCAGCGCAGAAGAGGGCUCAGCCUGCCCGCAGAAACAUGACUUUGAGCACCAGUUGUGUGCUGGGCAUGAUUACUGUUCAUUGAAGAAUGAAGUGAGAUCUAGGAGAUAUGGUGCAGCUAGGAGUCAGACUUGAUUGAAACUCGGCCCUGCUCCUGACUUGCUGAAUGAUCCAGGGGCCCAUUUUCCUCAUCUGUAAAAUGGAGACAGUAAUAUCUAUUGCCAAUAAUAUGCCAAGAACCUGCCUGCCAGUGCAGGAGAUGUAAGAGGAAUCAAACCUGGGUCGGGAAGAUCCCCUGGAGGAGGCAUGGCAACCCGCUCCAGAAUUUUUGCCUGGAGAAUUUCAUGGACAAAAAAUUCCACGGAGGAGCCUGGCAGGCUACAGUCCAUGGAGUCAUGAAGAGCCGGACACAACUGAGCCACUGACACUUUGACUUUCACUAAAGAUCAUCACCACAUCAUAAGGAGAUCAUCUGAGUGCCCACCCCAUGACUGACUCCAUAAGCACGAGAUGACUUCAUCCUCAAAUCCUGAAGGUAAGUUCUCUUAGCAAUCGCCAUCAUACAGUCGAGGAAGCUGAUGCUCAGAGAGGUUAAGUCACUUGCAGGGGUCACACAGCUAAGGAGAGGCAUGGUUGGGCUUCAAACUCAGUUCUGUCUGGUCCCAAACCUGGCUUCCAAGCUGUACAGAGUGCAAAGCAGCGUAAAUGACAUUUGUCUUUCGCACCCGGUGACACUGAAUUCAUAAUCAGCAGGCCCACACAAGGUGAGCCAUCCUGGGCAGAUGGAUAUCAAAUGCCUGCCGCCAGUGUGAGUGCUCCCUGGGUAAUGGCCAGGGUGGAGAUUUCCCAGUCCCUGGCAUGGAUCCCCACCUGCAGCCCAUGGGAAGGUCCUCAGGAGAUUUCUGGGGGCAGAGGCAGGCCUUCCAGCUGCAGAUCAGCCUGGGAUGGGCUCAGGACUCUGCAGGAGUAGCUGGGCAUUCGUCUUCCCCUGGCUGUGGGCAUCUCUCCAAGAGUGACAGGAGAGCUAUUUCAGAACAGGCAGGGGGCCUCAGUCCAGUCUGCCCAAACACGCACCCCUCAGAUGACUGCCUGGCCCCAGAGUGCAAGGACUGAGCCAACAAGACCUCCACAGCCAUCUGGGGCUCCCAGCAGAAUGGAUGCAGGUGUGACUCCUGUGCCCCGUUCACACCAGUCACGCUCGGUUCCGGUCCCCUGAUGCUCCCACUGGAAUCACUUCCUUCCCCACUGCCACCCUGUCCACAGAAGGACUGCUCAAGGAAGGACUUGCCUGGGCUGAAAUUUUGGCUGAGUUCCAGGGAGCUGGCUUGGUCUGAUUGGGUGGCGAGGAUGGGGGAGGGGGAGGAGGUAAGGGGAAGCGGCUGCAGGUGUGGAGGGAGAGGGAGGAGGUGGGGGUGCACAGUGGCCAAGUGGUCAGGGCGGGGUGUGGACAGAUAGGCUAGGGAAAGAUGGAGCAGAAAGGGGCUCUGAGGCCAGAAAAGGGAGGCGGGCAGCAUGCAUCCCCGGACUGGAGGGAAGAAAAGCAUCAGAAUAUUUAGAGCAGAGAAGCAGAGCCGAGUGGGUUGUGUGUGUGUGUUAGUCACUCAGUCGUGUCCAACUCUAUGUGACCCCAUGGACUGUAGCCCGCCAGGCUCCUCUGUCCAUGGGAUUCUCCAGGCAAGAAGACUGGAGUGGGUUGCCAUGCCCUCCUCCAUGGAAUCUUCCCAACCCAGGAACUGAACCUAGGUCUCCUGCAUUGCAGACAGAGUCUUUACCCUCUGAGCCACAAGGGAAGCCUGAGGGGAGUUAUAAAAUGGUUAUUGAUCAAAGCCAUUGGGUGGGAGGGGCUGGGGGUCCCCAGUUUGAGGGCGGAGAUGCCCCAGUUUGGGGAUAAGUGCUGUCUGAGUAUGUCUGGCUGGCAGGAAACGAGGUAGGGCCAGGGUGCUGGGUUUCGGCUCUAGUGUCUGUGGGCGCAGAGAGCAGCUGCAGGGCGCUCAGCCCCGGAGCCCCAGCGCUGUCCUGGCAGCUAGAAGUCUGAGGUGUUCUGGUGGUGAGGAUGUUCAACUGUCUGUUUACAGUCCCUGUGACUUGCAUAGCACUCAACCUGCUCAGCCCUUAGCACACGUUAUGUCAUUUAAUCACCCAAGCCUCCUGCAGACAGGGAAAGAGGCCACGACCCUGGUCUCCUCCCAGGUAAUAAGUGGAGGGACCAGGGUUGGGACCUGGGUCAUUCCUUUGGGCGUGUCACCUGGUGUCCAUGGACCUGGGUCAUUCCUCUGGGCAUGUCACCUGGUGUCCAUGGACCUGGGUCAUUCCUCUGGGCGUGUCACCUGGUGUCCAGGGACCUGGGUCUUUCCUCUGGACGUGUCACCUGGUGUCCAUGGACACCAUGGAGUCCUCCAUGGUGUCCAUGGAGGGGGCAGGAGCUGAGGUGGGGGCUGCAGCUGCUGGGGACAGUGGAUGCCAGCCAGCUGGUCCCAUUGGCCAGGACCCUGCUUCUCUCAUGGGGCAGCAUGGUAAGGUAUUCUGAAUCAGUAGGAGGGUGGACAGGGAGUGUGAGUAAAAGUGGGAGUGAGUAUGUGUGGGUAAGUGUGAGCAUGCCGCUGUGAGGUGUGUGAGUGUGGGAUGGCCCUCUGCUCUGGGGCUGGACCAGCCAGGAGACAGGAGCCCCUUGGAGUCUGGCAGGGACAGGAAGUUGCUCACCCUCCGUGUAUGCAGCAGCUCUCCUGGGCGGGGACAGGAUGCUGUGGUCUCUGCAGAAAAACGGGAACCAGAGAGGGAGUAGAGGAGGCAAUGGCUGAGAGGGUGGAUGGGACAUAGGCCUGGAGAGGACGGGGGAGUCCAGGGGAUGGGAUGCUUGAAAGGUGAAGAAACUUUGGAAAUGCUCCAAAACACUGAAGAAAGAGGGGAAGACUUUGUCUUACGUCUCUGGAGAUUCACUGGGGGACAAAUUAAGUCCCCGCCCCCAUGGAACUGACUUGCCCCUCUGUCAGCCUGGCCUCUCCAGCUUUCUUACCUCCUGGGUUCCUCUCCAUGCACCCUAACUGCCAACCCACACCCUGGGGCCCCAGGUCUGGAGUGUUCCACCCUCUGCUCUGUCAGCAGGAAUCCUGCCCAUUUUGGAAGAUGUAGCUGGUGCUUCAUGGCUGAGAAGGCUUCCCACUUGUGGCACAAGGGGUUUCUCCCUCGUGGUCCAGGCAGCUCAUUCCUAAGACCUUAGCUCCCCAACUCUGCUGGGGAGUCUUUCAAUUCUCCUCACCCUCUGUGACAACCUGUCAAAAGCGGCAGGGCUGGACUCACAGGGUUUUAUUUACUGCUAACA
Long non-coding RNA from Bubalus bubalis (water buffalo), 3396 nucleotides. RefSeq lists it as uncharacterized. The record is from RefSeq and is a predicted model, not a curated record. The transcript has 4 exons. NCBI's taxonomy places the organism in Eukaryota, Metazoa, Chordata, Mammalia, Artiodactyla, Bovidae.